UACAGAGGUCCCAAGCGUUGUUCGGAUUCACUGGGCGUAAAGGGUGCGUAGGUGGCAGGGCAAGUCUGGCGUGAAAUCUCCGAGCUUAACUCGGAAAUGGCGUUGGAAACUGCUUUGCUUGAGGGUUGGAGGGGGGACUGGAAUACUUGGUGUAGCAGUGAAAUGCGUAGAUAUCAAGUGGAACACCAGUGGCGAAGGCGAGUCCCUGGACAACUCCUGACACUGAGGCACGAAAGCUAGGGGAGCAAACGGG
RNAcentral lists this ribosomal RNA (253 nucleotides) under uncultured bacterium. Its description in RNAcentral is "partial 16S ribosomal RNA". It matches the Rfam family "Bacterial small subunit ribosomal RNA", at positions 524 to 776 of the family's 1533-position model. The record is from RNAcentral.